RNAcentral lists this long non-coding RNA (483 nucleotides) under Capsella grandiflora. RNAcentral's name for it is "long non-coding RNA (CGRA_LNC001194)". Lineage: Eukaryota; Viridiplantae; Streptophyta; Magnoliopsida; Brassicales; Brassicaceae. The record is from RNAcentral.
UUUCAUUUUUCAUCAAAAAAACCGUUUAGAAACACUUAAUCACUGCAAUAAACAGAGAUAUUCCGCUAAUUCUUCUAUGUAAUUAGUUCGAUGUAUAAAGAUUAAAGAUGUUGAUGUUCAUGUAAGUUUCACUCGACGCGACUUACAUUACAAAUCAUAUUUAGUCUCAUUUCGUGCCUCUCUUUCUAGUCUCUUCUGCAAAUUCCAAAAGGCAUCAAUACAUUUUGAAAAUGUAUUUUCUGACUUGAUUCUUACAGAAGUGUUGUUAACACCACUUAACCUAGAGUGUGUAUAUCUGAUGUUGGAUGUGAAAAGAAAAAAGAAGUAUUUGUUAUGAAGAAGUAAAAGUAUCAGAUGAACAUAAAGAGAACGUCUGGGGAGACUAAAGAAGGGACGCUACUUAAUCUCUCCCCCUUUCCUAAAACACAAAACCAAAAACAGACUUCUUUUCUUUCCCCCUCAAAACUUGUCUCUAAUGGGNNN